RNAcentral lists this ribosomal RNA (284 nucleotides) under Roseburia faecis M72/1. RNAcentral's name for it is "partial 16S ribosomal RNA". It matches the Rfam family "Bacterial small subunit ribosomal RNA", at positions 493 to 776 of the family's 1533-position model. The record is from RNAcentral. Lineage: Bacteria; Bacillati; Bacillota; Clostridia; Lachnospirales; Lachnospiraceae.
UAUGGUACUUGUGGGAGAGCCGCCGCGGUAAUACGUAUGGUGCAAGCGUUAUCCGGAUUUACUGGGUGUAAAGGGAGCGCAGGCGGUGCGGCAAGUCUGAUGUGAAAGCCCGGGGCUCAACCCCGGUACUGCAUUGGAAACUGUCGUACUAGAGUGUCGGAGGGGUAAGUGGAAUUCCUAGUGUAGCGGUGAAAUGCGUAGAUAUUAGGAGGAACACCAGUGGCGAAGGCGGCUUACUGGACGAUAACUGACGCUGAGGCUCGAAAGCGUGGGGAGCAAACAGG